AUUGAACGCUGGCGGCAGGCCUAACACAUGCAAGUCGAACGAGUGGCGGACGGGUGAAUAGUGGCGGAGAAACUGCGCGAUGGAGGGGGAUAAGUACGAGAAACGGUAGCUAAUAGCGCAUACCAUCGGAUGUGCCCAGGUGGGAUUAGCUAGUAGGUGGGGUAACGGCUCACCGAGGCGACGAUGCCUAGCUGGUCUGAGAGGAUGACCAGCCACACUGGAACUGAGACACGGUCCAGACUCCUACGGGAGGCAGCAGUGGGGAAUAUUGCACAAUGGGCGCAAGCCUGAUGCAGCCAUGCCGCGUGUAUGAAGAAGGCCUUCGGGUUGUAAAGCACUGUCAGCGGGGAGGCGUUACUCGCAGAAGAAGCACCGGCUAACUCCGUGCCAGCAGCCGCGGUAAUUC
This 406-nucleotide ribosomal RNA is filed under the name uncultured bacterium. RNAcentral describes it as "partial 16S ribosomal RNA". It matches the Rfam family "Bacterial small subunit ribosomal RNA", at positions 29 to 526 of the family's 1533-position model. The record is from RNAcentral.